Molecule: ribosomal RNA, 312 nt
Filed under: uncultured bacterium
Lineage: Bacteria
Description: bacterial SSU rRNA
Rfam family: Bacterial small subunit ribosomal RNA
Source: RNAcentral
ACGCUGGUCGCGCGCCUAAGGAAACAAGUCGAACGAGAAAGCCGGGGCAACCUGGUGAGUAUUCCCCCGUACGGGUGAGUAACACGUGGAUGAUCUACCUCUUAGUUCGGAAUAACCAUGGGAAACCGUGGCUAAUACCGGAUAAGCUCGGGAGAGGAAAGCAGCAAUGCGCUGAGAGAGGAGUCCGCGGCCGAUUAGCUAGUUGGCAGGGUAAAAGCCUACCAAGGCAAAGAUCGGUAGCCGGCCUGAGAGGGCACACGGCCACACUGGCACUGAAACACGGGCCAGACUCCUACGGGAGGCAGCAGUGGG